GGAGUCUAGCAUGUGCGCGAGUCAUUGGGAAUUACUAAACCUAAAGGCGCAAUGAAAGUGAAGGUCNGCCUUGCGCGGACCGAGGGAAGAUGGGUGGUCGCGGUUUCCGCGCCGCUCCGCAUUCCCGGGGCGUCUCGUUCUCAUCGCGAGAAGAGGCGCACCAAGAGCGUACACGCUGGGACCCGAAAGAUGGUGAACUAUGCCUGGUCAGGACGAAGUCAGGGGAAACCCUGAUGGAGGUCCGUAGCGAUUCUGACGUGCAAAUCGAUCGUCGGAACUGGGUAUAGGGGCGAAAGACUAAUCGAACCAUCUAGUAGCUGGUUCCCUCCGAAGUUUCCCUCAGGAUAGCUGGCGCUCGUCGCCUACGAGUCUCAUCCGGUAAAGCGAAUGAUUAGAGGCAUUGGGGUCGAAACGGCCUCAACCUAUUCUCAAACUUUAAAUGGGUGAGAUCUCCGGCUUGCUCGAACUUAUGAAGCCGCGAGACACGGAUCAGAGUGCCAAGUGGGCCAUUUUUGGUAAGCAGAACUGGCGCUGUGGGAUGAACCAAACGCCGAGUUAAAGCGCCUAAAUCGACGCUUAUGGGAUACCAUGAAAGGCGUUGGUAACUUAAGACAGCAGGACGGUGGCCAUGGAAGUCGGAAUCCGCUAAG
This 650-nucleotide ribosomal RNA is filed under the name Omadius indicus. RNAcentral describes it as "eukaryotic LSU rRNA". It matches the Rfam family "Eukaryotic large subunit ribosomal RNA", at positions 670 to 1275 of the family's 3401-position model. The record is from RNAcentral. Lineage: Eukaryota; Metazoa; Arthropoda; Insecta; Coleoptera; Cleridae.